CCGCGGCUGCUGGCACGGAGUUAGCCGGUGCUUAUUCGUACAGUACAGUCAUCGGACUACACGUAGCCCUUAUUCUUCCUAUACAAAAGCAGUUUACAACCUCUAGGGCUGUCAUCCUGCACGCGGGAUGGCUGGUUCAGGCUUGCGCCCAUUGACCAAUAUUCCUCACUGCUGCCUCCCGUAGGAGUCUGGUCCGUGUCUCAGUACCAGUGUGUGGGACCAUCCUUUUAGACCCCAUAUCCAUCGUCGCCUUGGUGAGCCGUUACCUCACCAACUAGCUAAUGGAACGCAUGCCCAUCCUUUACCGCCGGAACUUUAUCCAAAAUAUCAUGCGAUAUCUCGAAACUAUGGAGUAUUAAUCCGAAUUUCUUCGGGCUAUCCUCCUGUAAAGGGCAGGUUGCAUACGCGUUACUCACCCGUGCGCCGGUCGUCAGCAAGUAUUGCUACUCCUGUUACCCCUCGACUUGCAUGUGUUAAGCCUCCCGCUAGCGUUCAUCCUGAGCCAUGAUCAAACUC
RNAcentral lists this ribosomal RNA (516 nucleotides) under uncultured Bacteroidota bacterium. RNAcentral's name for it is "uncultured Bacteroidetes bacterium partial 16S ribosomal RNA". Lineage: Bacteria; Pseudomonadati; Bacteroidota. The record is from RNAcentral.